This 119-nucleotide ribosomal RNA is filed under the name Lepisosteus oculatus (spotted gar). The record is from RNAcentral. Lineage: Eukaryota; Metazoa; Chordata; Actinopteri; Semionotiformes; Lepisosteidae.
GUCAGCAGCCAUAUCACCCUGCAACUCACAACUGGCAAUCCACUGAAGCUAAGCAGGUAAGAGACUGGUCAGUACCUGGGUAGGAGACCUCCUGGGAAAAACUAAGGUUGCUGCUGGAA